GUUGGAUGCAAAAGAUAAAAAAAUCUUAAAAAUAACUUGUUCUUUGGCCUUUAAACAAAGAUAAGAACAGAAUUGAGCAUAAAUAAACAACAUAUAAAUGAGCAACAAAUUUUAAGAGCAUAAAGUUAAAGCAUAUAGCAGUCAAAAAGGAUGUGUUUAUAAGGGCAUUUUUAUGCUGAAAUUUCACUGAAACCAAGACCUUUAAUCUAUUAUAUUUGUGAAAAUGCCAUACUUCUUAAUGUCAAACAGAAAUAUUAAAAGUCUAAAUAUUGCUAAAAAAUAAAAAAUUGCAACAUCCUACUUUUUGUGUUUUUAAGAUAUAUUUUUAUUGACAUAUUGAGAAUUAAAAGUAGGUCAUUUAUCAGAGCAGAGCUUCUGCCAUGUAUACCAAAACCAUUAUAUGAUACUUGCAUACUGUUGGCAUUUCUAAAUCACCAUUUAUGGCCUAACCUAGCAGUAUUUAGUCAUUUAAGAAUAGAUAUCCAAUAAGUCCCUUCUUUUAUUCAUCUCAUAAUCUCAGUGAAUAUUUAAAGUAUGUGAAAAACUAUUUCAUGUAUAAAUCCAGGAUUUUGAGUGACUACCUUAUUUGUGCAAAUAAGUUCCUUAGCAUAGCAAGUCCUUUGUUGAGGAAACAUAUAUUUCUAUUUC
Molecule: long non-coding RNA, 648 nt
Filed under: Mytilus galloprovincialis (Mediterranean mussel)
Lineage: Eukaryota; Metazoa; Mollusca; Bivalvia; Mytilida; Mytilidae
Source: RNAcentral